RNAcentral lists this ribosomal RNA (497 nucleotides) under uncultured bacterium. RNAcentral describes it as "partial 16S ribosomal RNA". It matches the Rfam family "Bacterial small subunit ribosomal RNA", at positions 28 to 507 of the family's 1533-position model. The record is from RNAcentral.
GAUGAACGCUGGCGGCGUGCCUAAUACAUGCAAGUCGAGCGAACGGGCGAGAGCCUUGCUUCUCGGAUGUUAUCGGCGGACGGGUGAAUAGCACGUGGAUAACCUACCGAUAAGACGGGGAUAAAUUCGAGAAACCGGAGCUAAUCCCAUAUGAUAUUUUGUACCACAUGGUUCAAAAAUAAAAUACGAUCGUGCUAUUACUUGUAGGUGGAGCGUCGCUGCAUUAGCUAGUUGGUAAGGUAACUGCUUACCAAGGCAACGAUUCAUAGCCGACCUGAGAGGGUGAUCGGCCACACUGGAACUGAGACCCGGUCCAGACUCCUACGGGAGGCAGAAGUAGGGAAUCUUCCGCAAUGGGCGAAAGCCUGCCGGAGAACCGCCGCGUGAGUGAUGAAGGUCUUCGGAUCGUAAAACUCUGUUAUUAGGGAAGAACAUAUGUGUAAGUAACUGUGCACACCUUGACGGUACCUAACCAGAAAGCCACGGCUAACUACGUG